RNAcentral lists this long non-coding RNA (1347 nucleotides) under Homo sapiens (human). RNAcentral describes it as "HSALNT0308164". Lineage: Eukaryota; Metazoa; Chordata; Mammalia; Primates; Hominidae. The record is from RNAcentral.
CGAACAGCCAGUCAGAAGCAGUACAUAAAGACCUCAAAAGAAUAAAAUGAGCUCUUGCCUGCUGCCAUGUAAGACAUGACUUUGCUUCUCAUUUGCCUUCUGCAGUGAUUGUGAGGCCUCCCCAGCCAUGUGGACCUCGAUGAGUCAACAAGAAGUUUACAGCACUGAGAAAGACGAGUCAACAACAGAAGGAAAAAAAUCCAGAGAAAAUGGCACUUGCUGCAUUGGAAUGAAAGAUAAUCUGCAGAAGGACCUGCUCAGUGGCAAUAAACAUUGGCAUUCUUGGAAACAGUGUUUGCCUAAGAAUCUUCUGUCUGCCUUUGUUGCUUUGGCCAUAUUAUGAUAAGGGCAUGACUGGAUUUACCAAAAUGGGCAUGAUUGGAUCUACUUAUUCUCUUAUCAGACACCUUUUCCUAGACAACAUCCUGAAACAUAAGAAUAAGCACAAAAAUGAACAUAUUACAUCAAACGUACCACUGAGAAGAAUGGUAAGUUUAACAGUUUCCCACGUGGGAGGCAUAUUGACGAUUACAAUUUUAAGUUAGCAGAACACCAGCUCACAUGGAAACAGUCUCCUCCGUGAAUUCUUUCUUUGGCUGACAGACAUGAGAUGUUAGCUGUCUAAGAAGACCUUCACACCAACACCUUCUUAGAAGAUAUUGUAAGAUAACAAUCCUUGAGUGGAACCUGAAUUCUUUCUAAACACUGCAUGUAGGAAAACAAGAGGCAGUUCACACAAUCACUUAACACCUCUUCUUAAAAGUGAAUCCUUGAAGGAGUGGUGUUCAAAUAUUUAAGUACAUUAGAUACUUUAUACACGCCACAUCCAAAAUGCUCAGUAUUCCUAAUACAUUUCAUUUUCUCCCAAGUUUUAAUGGUUGAUGCACAAUCACAUUAAUUUCCUAUUAAUUUCUAGGAAUAUGUACACAGUAGCCUUAGGAGAAAGAAGAUAACUAUUACUUUACAUUUUUAACUGUUUUGUUUUCAUGUCCAUGAGAGAAAAAUUAAAGUAAGUUAAAAAAUUAACUCAGACACUCUAUUUAUUUUUAGGAAGACAUACACCCCCCACAGGGAGACUUUUACAUGUUGUAAUAAUGUUCACAAACAGCUACUCUUUAAGUGUAACACUAUUCUAAGCCUCUUUUCCUCCAUUUUAUUUCAUAUACAUUUAUGCAUCUGCAUGCAUAUAUAACCACAUGUAUUUAUAUUUAGUAGGUAUAGUUUAUUACACAUAAAUCUAAAUAUCUAUCAUAUACAGUAAAUUAGAACCUAGCAUGAUACUAGCCAUAUAUUAGAGAUUCAAUGAAAAUGGUGGCUGUUUAUAUACAACGUAUUCAUUAAAAAAAC